This 200-nucleotide unclassified non-coding RNA is filed under the name soil metagenome. RNAcentral describes it as "partial contains internal transcribed spacer 2 and large subunit ribosomal RNA". The record is from RNAcentral.
GUCAUUUCAUUCUUAAAAUUUAUUUUAGUAUUGAGUUGUUUGUUGUCAAUAACUCGAAAUGAAAUUGCAGAAGCGACUCUAGCUUUCACAACGUAUUAGGUUUUACCAUCUCGUUGGCUACGGAGCUAGAGCAGCAUCGGCGUUAUAACCAAACUUAUAAGUUUGACCUCAAAUCAGGCAAGAUUACCCGCUGAACUUAA